RNAcentral lists this ribosomal RNA (660 nucleotides) under Escherichia coli. RNAcentral's name for it is "partial 23S ribosomal RNA". It matches the Rfam family "Bacterial large subunit ribosomal RNA", at positions 165 to 867 of the family's 2925-position model. Lineage: Bacteria; Pseudomonadati; Pseudomonadota; Gammaproteobacteria; Enterobacterales; Enterobacteriaceae. The record is from RNAcentral.
CAUAGGUUAAUGAGGCGAACCGGGGGAACUGAAACAUCUAAGUACCCCGAGGAAAAGAAAUCAACCGAGAUUCCCCCAGUAGCGGCGAGCGAACGGGGAGCAGCCCAGAGCCUGAAUCAGUGUGUGUGUUAGUGGAAGCGUCUGGAAAGGCGCGCGAUACAGGGUGACAGCCCCGUACACAAAAAUGCACAUGCUGUGAGCUCGAUGAGUAGGGCGGGACACGUGGUAUCCUGUCUGAAUAUGGGGGGACCAUCCUCCAAGGCUAAAUACUCCUGACUGACCGAUAGUGAACCAGUACCGUGAGGGAAAGGCGAAAAGAACCCCGGCGAGGGGAGUGAAAAAGAACCUGAAACCGUGUACGUACAAGCAGUGGGAGCCUCUUUAUGGGGUGACUGCGUACCUUUUGUAUAAUGGGUCAGCGACUUAUAUUCUGUAGCAAGGUUAACCGAAUAGGGGAGCCGAAGGGAAACCGAGUCUUAACUGGGCGUUAAGUUGCAGGGUAUAGACCCGAAACCCGGUGAUCUAGCCAUGGGCAGGUUGAAGGUUGGGUAACACUAACUGGAGGACCGAACCGACUAAUGUUGAAAAAUUAGCGGAUGACUUGUGGCUGGGGGUGAAAGGCCAAUCAAACCGGGAGAUAGCUGGUUCUCCCCGAAAGCU